ACUUGGAUAUCUUAAUUAUAAAGUAUAACUCUGAAGAAGUUAUUAUAGGUAUUAACCUUCCAAGUA
This 66-nucleotide transfer RNA is filed under the name Eurydema ventralis. RNAcentral's name for it is "tRNA-Phe". Lineage: Eukaryota; Metazoa; Arthropoda; Insecta; Hemiptera; Pentatomidae. The record is from RNAcentral.